AGUUAAUAAGCUAAAUUUAGCUUAUAUUUUGAAAAUAUAAAUUUAGAAAUUUAAAAUUUUCUAUUAACUU
This 70-nucleotide transfer RNA is filed under the name Ancistrocerus parietum. RNAcentral's name for it is "tRNA-Ser". The record is from RNAcentral. Lineage: Eukaryota; Metazoa; Arthropoda; Insecta; Hymenoptera; Vespidae.